This 590-nucleotide unclassified non-coding RNA is filed under the name Hevea brasiliensis (rubber tree). Lineage: Eukaryota; Viridiplantae; Streptophyta; Magnoliopsida; Malpighiales; Euphorbiaceae. The record is from RNAcentral.
GCCAAGUACAAAGCACCAGAGGCCAAAUUCGAAGCCAAGAUUUCAGUUUCGGUUGGAAAAGCUUCAGAAAGAGAGAGGAAAGAAGCGAUGGCGAAAGAGAGAGAACUACUCGUUUACUCAGCUAGAUUGGCAGAGCAAGCUGAGAGAUACGAAGAGAUGGUUGAGAAAAUGGAGAAAGUUGCAAAGUUAAACGUGGAAUUGACUGUGGAAGAGAGAAAUCUGCUAUCUGUUGGUUAUAAGAAUGUAAUAGGAGCUAGACGAGCUUCCUGGCGUAUUUUAUCUUCAAUUGAACAGAAGGAAACUACCAAACAUAAUGAGAAGAAUGUGGAACGGAUAAUUGAUUACAGGCAUCGGGUUGAAGAUGAGCUCUCUAAAAUAUGCAGUGACAUAUUGUCGAUCAUUGACCAACAUCUCCUUCCAUGUUCCUCAGCUGGAGAAUCUACUGUAUUCUACCAUAAGAUGAAAGGAGACUAUUGUCGGUAUUUGGCUGAGUUUAAAUCUGGUGACGAGCGUAAACAAGUUGCAGAUCAAUCAUUAAAGUCUUAUGAGGCUGCAUCUGCAAUUGCUAACUCUGAUUUGUCUCCAACUCA